GAGUUUGAUCUUGGCUCAGAUUGAACGCUGGCGGCAUGCCUUACACAUGCAAGUCGAACGGUAACGCGGGGCAACCUGGCGACGAGUGGCGAACGGGUGAGUAAUGCAUCGGAACGUGCCUGGUAGUGGGGGAUAACUGCUCGAAAGAGCAGCUAAUACCGCAUACGACCUGAGGGUGAAAGGGGGGGAUCGCAAGACCUCUCGCUAUCAGAGCGGCCGAUGUCGGAUUAGCUAGUUGGUGGGGUAAAGGCCCACCAAGGCAACGAUCCGUAGCUGGUCUGAGAGGACGACCAGCCACACUGGGACUGAGACACGGCCCAGACUCCUACGGGAGGCAGCAGUGGGGAAUUUUGGACAAUGGACGCAAGUCUGAUCCAGCCAUGCCGCGUGCGGGAGAAGGCCUUCGGUU
This 409-nucleotide ribosomal RNA is filed under the name uncultured beta proteobacterium. RNAcentral's name for it is "bacterial SSU rRNA". It matches the Rfam family "Bacterial small subunit ribosomal RNA", at positions 9 to 423 of the family's 1533-position model. Lineage: Bacteria; Pseudomonadati; Pseudomonadota; Betaproteobacteria. The record is from RNAcentral.